Molecule: ribosomal RNA, 405 nt
Filed under: uncultured bacterium
Lineage: Bacteria
Description: partial 16S ribosomal RNA
Rfam family: Bacterial small subunit ribosomal RNA
Source: RNAcentral
GACGAACGCUGGCGGCGUGCUUAACACAUGCAAGUAGAACGAAGUGGCGGAUGGGCGAGUAACACGUGAGGAACCUGCCUUUCACAGGGGAAUAACACUGGGAAACCAGUGCUAAUACCGCAUAGUGAAAGAUGGCCUCGCGCCUGAUUAGCUAGUAGGAGAGGUAACGGCUAACCGAGGGGAGGAUCAGUAGCCGGGCUGAGGGUUGAAGGGCCGCAUUGGGACGUAGGCACGGACCGGACUCCUACGGGAGUGAGCAGUUGGGAUAAUUGGGCAAUGGCGGAAGCCUGGCCCAGCAACGCCGCGUGAAGGAAGACGGUCUUCGGAUUGAAAACUUCUUUGGACAGGGACGCGGUACCUGUAGAAUAAGCCACGGCUAACUACGUGCAAGCGGCCGCGGUAAUA